UGUAUAUUUCAACUAGGCGAAAUGUGCAGAAAGCAGAAUAAUGAAAGUGCAAUACGAUGUCGCCUUCGUCACAAGUGUACAGAUAUCAUGUUGAUUCAAUGAUUAACAGACUUGCUUGUUUAGAUAGUCUAUUUUCAGCCUGUGAUAUCAGGAAAUGGGCCUGGGUAGGUCAUUGUAGCUUCUGUAUUCAUGCCCUAGUUAGGUCCCGUCUUCAACUGCAACUACACGGAUGAUCCAUGAUCGGUAUCCAACAACAAGGGGCAUUAACUGUACUGAAGUAAUAACCGAUCUGCUGAUCAAUACAGACAAACGUGAACUGGUCUUGAGUGUUACUGGCGUUCGCGUUACAGGAAUACAUAAACUGCGUCAUCAUGGCACUGAACAUCCCUGGACUCAUCUCCGUCAUCGUGUUCUACGUCCUCAUCCUCGUCAUCGGCAUCAUCGCCGCCAGGAAGAGCAGAAACAGUAACGCCGAAGACUCAUUCGUGGCCAAUAGAAGCAUCGGGCUGUGGCUGUCGUUCUUUACACUUAC
Haliotis rubra (blacklip abalone) is the source of this 532-nucleotide long non-coding RNA. RefSeq lists it as uncharacterized. The transcript is spliced from 3 exons. NCBI's taxonomy places the organism in Eukaryota, Metazoa, Mollusca, Gastropoda, Lepetellida, Haliotidae. The record is from RefSeq and is a predicted model, not a curated record.